UGGCUCAGAUGGUAAAGAACCUGCCUGCAAUGCAGGAGACCCCGGGUUCAACUCCUGG
This 58-nucleotide transfer RNA is filed under the name Ovis aries (sheep). It matches the Rfam family "tRNA", at positions 8 to 63 of the family's 71-position model. Rfam says of the family: Transfer RNA (tRNA) molecules are approximately 80 nucleotides in length. Their secondary structure includes four short double-helical elements and three loops (D, anti-codon, and T loops). Lineage: Eukaryota; Metazoa; Chordata; Mammalia; Artiodactyla; Bovidae. The record is from Rfam by way of RNAcentral.